CCUACGGGUGGCUGCAGUCGAGAAUCAUUCACAAUGGGGGAAACCCUGAUGGGGCGACGCCGCGUGGGGGAAUGAAGGUCUGCGGAUUGUAAACCCCUGUCAUGUGGGAGCAAAGUAAAAAGAUAGGACCACAAGAGGAAGAGACGGCGAACGCUGUGCCAGCAGCCGCGGUAAUACAGAGGUCUCAAGCGUUGUUCGGAACCACUGGGCGUAAAGCGUGCGGAGGCUGUUUCGUAAGUCGUGUGUGAAAGGCGCGGGCUCCACCCGCGGACGGCACAUGAUACUGCGAGACUAGAGUAAUGUAGGGGGAACCGGACUUCUCGGUGUAGCCGU
RNAcentral lists this ribosomal RNA (333 nucleotides) under uncultured bacterium. Its description in RNAcentral is "partial 16S ribosomal RNA". It matches the Rfam family "Bacterial small subunit ribosomal RNA", at positions 338 to 682 of the family's 1533-position model. The record is from RNAcentral.